CACGGCCUAUCAGCUUGUUGGUGAGGUAGCGGCUCACCAAGGCUCCGACGGGUAGCUGGUCUGAGAGGACGAUCAGCCACACUGGGACUGAGACACGGCCCAGACUCCUACGGGAGGCAGCAGCAGGGAAUAUUGCACAAUGGGCGCAAGCCUGAUGCAGCGACGCCGCGUGAGGGAUGACGGCCUUCGGGUUGUAAACCUCUUUCAGGAGGGACGAAGCGAAAGUGACGGUACCUCCAGAAGAAGCCCCGGCCAACUACGUGCCAGCAGCCGCGGUAAUACGUAGGGGGCGAGCGUUGUCCGGAUUCAUUGGGCGUAAAGAGUUCGUAGGCGGCUCAGUAAGUCGGCCGUGAAAGCCCGGGGCUCAACCCCGGGACGCCGGUCGAUACUGCUGUGGCUAGGGUCCGGUAGAGGAGAGUGGAAUUCCCGGUGUAGCGGUGAAAUGCGCAGAUAUCGGGAGGAACACCAGUAGCGAAGGCGGCUCUCUGGGCCGGUACCGACGCUGAGGAGCGAAAGCUAGGGGAGCAAACAGGAUUAGAUACCCUGGUAGUCCUAGCCGUAAACGUUGGGCACUAGGUGUGGCGGAUUCAUUGACAUCUGCCGUGCCGAAGCUAACGCAUUAAGUGCCCCGCCUGGGGAGUACGG
Molecule: ribosomal RNA, 645 nt
Filed under: uncultured actinomycete
Lineage: Bacteria; Bacillati; Actinomycetota; Actinomycetes; Actinomycetales
Description: bacterial SSU rRNA
Rfam family: Bacterial small subunit ribosomal RNA
Source: RNAcentral